GGAGGCAGCAGUGGGGAUAUUGCACAAUGGGCGAAAGCCUGAUGCAGCGACGCCGCGUGAGGGAUGACGGCCUUCGGGUUGUAAACCUCUUUCAGCAGGGACGAAGCGCAAGUGACGGUACCUGCAGAAGAAGCACCGGCUAACUACGUGCCAGCAGCCGCGGUAAU
Molecule: ribosomal RNA, 167 nt
Filed under: Rhodococcus sp. DN22
Lineage: Bacteria; Bacillati; Actinomycetota; Actinomycetes; Mycobacteriales; Nocardiaceae
Description: partial 16S ribosomal RNA
Rfam family: Bacterial small subunit ribosomal RNA
Source: RNAcentral